RNAcentral lists this long non-coding RNA (479 nucleotides) under Nicotiana benthamiana. RNAcentral describes it as "long non-coding RNA (NBEN_LNC016889)". Lineage: Eukaryota; Viridiplantae; Streptophyta; Magnoliopsida; Solanales; Solanaceae. The record is from RNAcentral.
UAAAGGCAACCAUUUAUUCAAUGAUAGAGGGAUGGAAAAACUUUAGAAAAUAUAUACAUACAGCUGAUCCAAUUUUACUAUUACAUUGGAUCUAUCAUUGAUCUUCUAAAGAGCUUCCCAUUCAGAACUUUCGAGCUAUUUGGCACCAUUUUAUUUGAGUUUGGUUAUAUGAUGAUUAUAAGUCAUUUUUUGGGUUCCUUUUACUUCAUUUCUUCGAGUAAAAAAUUAUCUUGUCAUUUAUCUUCAAUUGUUUGGGAUCUGAGAUUAUUUGCACUGGUUGUGUUGCUAUUACUCUACUGCGUAUUUGCUGAUCCUCCUUCCUCAUUUCCAUUUCCAUUUUCUCGGUGUAUUUUGGCCCUAUGGAUCUCAUAUGAAUGUAAUAUGAAGAUGCGACAUUGGAAUGCAAGUGAUUAAUGACUUAAAAUUUCCUUCCCUUUGUCUCAUUUUAGCUGAUAAAUUUUAUUUAGUGUAUAGAUGUG